This is a long non-coding RNA of Ictalurus furcatus (blue catfish), 228 nucleotides long. RefSeq lists it as uncharacterized. Lineage: Eukaryota; Metazoa; Chordata; Actinopteri; Siluriformes; Ictaluridae. The record is from RefSeq and is a predicted model, not a curated record. The transcript is spliced from 3 exons.
CUAUCGUGUUGCAACGUAGUGAUGCUCAAGAUGAGGUGAGGUGGGCCUCAGGAUUUGUUCUGUAGCACGGUAGCCACCUGAAGUGUGUGUAUAGAUAACAAAGAAGAAAACACGAUGACUUGCUUACCAGUGUUCAGUUGAAAAUGGGAAGCAUAAUGUACAUCACCACUCUUAUAUCUUGGAUGAGGCGCUGAAUGAUGUCCAGCGGAUGGCAGGAAUGGACAAGAG